RNAcentral lists this microRNA precursor (84 nucleotides) under Oryza punctata. RNAcentral describes it as "pre miRNA mir-166". It matches the Rfam family "mir-166 microRNA precursor family". From Rfam's summary of the family: This family represents the plant microRNA (miRNA) precursor mir-166. Animal miRNAs are transcribed as ~70nt precursors and subsequently processed by the Dicer enzyme to give a ~22nt product. The record is from Rfam by way of RNAcentral. Lineage: Eukaryota; Viridiplantae; Streptophyta; Magnoliopsida; Poales; Poaceae.
GUUGAGAGGAAUGUCGUCUGGCCCGAGCCCGCGCCACGGCAGGUACACGUGGACGGUCUCGGACCAGGCUUCAUUCCCCCCAAC